Molecule: ribosomal RNA, 641 nt
Filed under: Escherichia coli
Lineage: Bacteria; Pseudomonadati; Pseudomonadota; Gammaproteobacteria; Enterobacterales; Enterobacteriaceae
Description: partial 23S ribosomal RNA
Rfam family: Bacterial large subunit ribosomal RNA
Source: RNAcentral
GCGUGUGACUGCGUACCUUUUGUAUAAUGGGUCAGCGACUUAUAUUCUGUAGCAAGGUUAACCGAAUAGGGGAGCCGAAGGGAAACCGAGUCUUAACUGGGCGUUAAGUUGCAGGGUAUAGACCCGAAACCCGGUGAUCUAGCCAUGGGCAGGUUGAAGGUUGGGUAACACUAACUGGAGGACCGAACCGACUAAUGUUGAAAAAUUAGCGGAUGACUUGUGGCUGGGGGUGAAAGGCCAAUCAAACCGGGAGAUAGCUGGUUCUCCCCGAAAGCUAUUUAGGUAGCGCCUCGUGAAUUCAUCUCCGGGGGUAGAGCACUGUUUCGGCAAGGGGGUCAUCCCGACUUACCAACCCGAUGCAAACUGCGAAUACCGGAGAAUGUUAUCACGGGAGACACACGGCGGGUGCUAACGUCCGUCGUGAAGAGGGAAACAACCCAGACCGCCAGCUAAGGUCCCAAAGUCAUGGUUAAGUGGGAAACGAUGUGGGAAGGCCCAGACAGCCAGGAUGUUGGCUUAGAAGCAGCCAUCAUUUAAAGAAAGCGUAAUAGCUCACUGGUCGAGUCGGCCUGCGCGGAAGAUGUAACGGGGCUAAACCAUGCACCGAAGCUGCGGCAGCGACGCUUAUGCGUUGUUGGGUA